UGCCCAGCAACUCCUAUACCUACCUCCUCGUGGUAUUGGCCGGGGUACAAGCAACCUUAGAGAGAAUUGGGUAACUAAUACCGGUGGGAUCUUUGGUCGUAUGCUGACAGGGAAGG
RNAcentral lists this ribozyme (116 nucleotides) under Aedes aegypti (yellow fever mosquito). RNAcentral's name for it is "drz-agam-1 ribozyme". It matches the Rfam family "drz-agam-1 ribozyme". Lineage: Eukaryota; Metazoa; Arthropoda; Insecta; Diptera; Culicidae. The record is from Rfam by way of RNAcentral.